RNAcentral lists this long non-coding RNA (205 nucleotides) under Actinidia chinensis (golden kiwifruit). RNAcentral's name for it is "long non-coding RNA (ACHI_LNC002014)". The record is from RNAcentral. Lineage: Eukaryota; Viridiplantae; Streptophyta; Magnoliopsida; Ericales; Actinidiaceae.
GUCACACCCCGGUCAAAUCAAGACCCGGCCACGUAAGCAAAUAACUCACAUGAGGAAAAGUCAAACAAAAAUAAAUGACAACACACUGUCAUUUACAUCAGAGUGCGGAAUAUUAUAACACAUAAUUACAUUUUAAUGUGUUUAUCAAAUUAAACAGCAUAACUGGCAUCCACAUGCCUCAAGACUCAGGAUAACUCUCGGUACC